CACCUCAUACACAUAGUAGGAUCUCCAAUUCUCUCGAAAGAUACUUGAGUAUGCUUAACAGAGGAUAUAGAGAAAAUCAUUUCUCAUAGGAGAUGGAGAGCAUAGAGAUGAUCUUAAAACUUAUAAUAAGGCGAUGUAAGGCAUCGACUCUAAGAAAAUGAUGUGAAUUAGCUUUUUUGACUGGAUAUCUUUUGAAAAUUUCUAUAUGGAAUAGCUUAUGGAUUUCACUUCUUGUGAUAGGAGAUCAUAAAGUCUACAAUACUCUUAGAGUUAAAACAUUCAUUUUGAUGAUAUGAUUAAAUUGUUU
This 307-nucleotide long non-coding RNA is filed under the name Elaeis guineensis (African oil palm). RNAcentral's name for it is "long non-coding RNA (EGUI_LNC081000)". Lineage: Eukaryota; Viridiplantae; Streptophyta; Magnoliopsida; Arecales; Arecaceae. The record is from RNAcentral.